AUUUAUUCUUGCAAUUCUAAGCUCGAACAGCAAGAUUUUUUCGAGAAAAUUGUUUUCAAAUAGAACUAUAUUAUUUGGAUCUCCUUCAAGUUUUGAAAGUAAUAAUUCAGGACCAGUGCCCAAGCAACGUGGGCGGUUAGUCCAGAGUGGAUGCUGCGAGUCCGCAAAGGGUUGGUUCGAUCAAAUUCGAAGUUGGUCAAAGUGGCGUGGACUGGUCCGAGUCCCUCGAGCGAUCUACUGUGAUCUUCUGUAUCGCUUUCCAUCGUCGUAAAUCAUCGCCAGUAUCUGCGCACGUCGAUAAGUCGCCAGUGACGGCUGCACACUCCACGCAUCUAGGGGACGUCUAUACCCCGAAAAAGACGCCGGCGCGCGCAUCGCGAGACGACGCCAAAGUAGCGUUAGAGCUCGAGUCCAAAGCUUCGAGAACGACCAACCGAAUGCACGAUAUUUUGACAAUCGUACCUGAAUCCAAAUCUCCAUCCAGUUAAGUCACUGCGUGGGAUUCCCAAGCGAGGACGCAGAA
Armigeres subalbatus is the source of this 523-nucleotide long non-coding RNA. RefSeq lists it as uncharacterized. NCBI's taxonomy places the organism in Eukaryota, Metazoa, Arthropoda, Insecta, Diptera, Culicidae. The transcript has 3 exons. The record is from RefSeq and is a predicted model, not a curated record.